RNAcentral lists this non-coding RNA (45 nucleotides) under Schistosoma mansoni. The record is from RNAcentral. Lineage: Eukaryota; Metazoa; Platyhelminthes; Trematoda; Strigeidida; Schistosomatidae.
AUCCAACUGACGAGUCCCAAAUAAGACGAAAUGUGCUUACUGGAU